GAGCAGAGUAGAGGAGUACAGCUGGGGCGCGUGUUGGUUGGGUUCGGGGUUGGGGCGCGUGUGCGUUUCCCCGUUCGAGAAAAAGGGCAGAAUCCUAGUCGCCUGGCCUUGGCCUUUCCAACUCCAAGGGGGAUUGGUGCUGCGGCUGCGGGUACGGCGUACAGCUGCUGCUGCUGCCCGCUGCCAUUCCUGCGAAACCGUGGUGAGAGAAAGCGGAGGAGCCGCCUUCUCCUGCUGGGGUUCUUGAUUCUUUGCAAGAUUGGCCUCAAUCAUCGCCGCCAUCAUCACCAAGCGAGCGAGCCAUGGCAGCAUUCGCAGAUGGGGACCCGUCCUCUUCUUCGUCCUGCUCUUCGUGGGAUAGUGACGAUGAGUACCAGAAGUUCAUCCAAAAGAUGAACCCUCCUAGGGUCACGAUUGACAACGCUUCAUGUGCAAAUGCUACAAUCAUUCAUGUGGAUAGCGCCAACAAGUAUGGGAUACUGCUGGAGGUUGUGCAGGUCCUCACUGAUCUCAAGCUCAUUGUCAGGAAAGCAUACAUAUCCUCUGACGGGGGAUGGUUCAUGGAUGUGUUCAAUGUGACGAAUCAAAGUGGGCAGAAGAUAAUGGACGAAUCUGUGCUGGAAGGGAUAAAAGAUUACAUUUACAAGUCUAUCGCACCUGGUUCUUGUUUUCUUCCUUCACGGAGGAGGGCCAUUGGAGUCGAGCCUUCCUCUGACUACACCUUGAUAGAGCUAACUGGAACUGACAGACCCGGUCUUCUCUCUGAAGUGAGCGCUGUGCUCACAAAUCUGGACUGUAACGUGGUGAAUGCUGAGGUGUGGACACAUAACGAAAGAGCAGCAGCAGUCAUCCAGAUCACUGAUAGGAAGACUGGGUUGGCAAUUCCGGAUGCAGAAAGGCUUGGCAGAAUCAAGGAGCGGCUUCGUAAUGUGUUCAAGGGAAGGAGUAGAGAUGCCAAGACAACAGUAGCAAUGGGGAUAACCCACACAGAGCGGCGCCUGCACCAAAUGAUGCUUGAGGAUCGAGAUUAUGAAAGGUAUGAUAAGGAUAGGGCGAAUGCCAACCCCAUGCCCAUGGUCUCGGUUGUUAAUUGGCUUCAGAAAGAUUAUUCUGUGGUCACAAUGCGGUGCAAGGAUCGAUCAAAGCUUCUCUUCGACACAGUUUGCACUCUAACAGAUAUGCAAUAUGUGGUUUACCAUGGGAGUGUGGAUACUGAGGGCCCUCAAGCUUACCAGGAGUAUUAUAUUAGGCACAUUGAUGGAUCACCUGUCAAUUCAGAGGCUGAGAGAAAACGAAUCAUCCAAUGUCUUGAAGCAGCUAUAGAACGGAGAGUAUCCGAGGGACUGAAGUUAGAGUUGUCAACAGGCGACAGAGUGGGUCUGUUAUCAGAUGUAACACGCAUUUUCCGUGAGAACGGCUUGACAGUCACAAGGGCAGAAGUUUCAACUAGGGGUAACAAGGCUAUCAAUACUUUUUAUGUCCGUGACACAGCAGGGAGCUUGGUUGAGCUGAAGACGCUAGAAGCAAUAAGGCAGGAUAUAGGGCAGACCGUGCUUCAAGUAAAAGGGCACCCUGAUCACCUGAAAUCGACAGCACAAGAGUCGCUGACUAGGUUUCUCUUCAGCAGUCUCUUCAGACCAAGAUCACCAUGAAACCUUGGAUUGAAGCCUGAGCAGCCCCACAGUUGCUGUUGUUGAUCUUCAAGGUGUGUAUGCCAAUCUAUCAUUGUUGAAUGCUGAUUCAUAGGAGACGAAGCCGGGUUACCACGCUGCCAUCAGAAUGGACAGUGAAGGCAGAAUGGGCAUGAAGGGGAGAUGUGUGGUGGGUAUCAGUGGCAUUGCCCCUUGGCCCUUGGGGAUAUUCAGAGGGUGUGGUGAAGUGUGAUACGGCGGCGGCGGCGGCAUACUUGUCCAAGGAAUCGGGCCGACGGCGACCCGGAUUUCAUUUGUGCCGGGCGCACAUGUCAAAAUGGCCGCCAGCUCGGCAGGGGCCUACCACGGCUGCAACUUGGCGUUGGGGCUUGGCACUUCGCGGGGGGCGUCAGAGGCAGGCAGAGGCGUCUAGGUUUCCAAUAUUUGAUUUUUAAGACCUUGUGCCGUAGUACCACCAGAAUCUUUCAUAACACCUAGAGGCCCUACAGGCAGGGCCACAGUGCCCAGCUAAGUGCCUGCCUGCAGAUAUUUCUGGCGUCAGAGCUGCAGCAACUUCUCAGUGAGACCUUAUCUCUUGCUACUGCCAGGGGCACAGAGGACUGCCAAUCAUCGCUGUGCAGUGCCUGGGUAUGAGUUGGAACAGAUCUGGUCCUGCUACAUGCUGGAGCUGGAGGAGGAUCUCAACUGUUCAAGAUCUGUGUGCAUCAACAAUCAGUUAUCAGUUAGUUGAAACAUUUCAAUAAUCUUCCAUGCGCAUUUCAGUUAGUUUAAAGUUAAGCAAGCUUCACCAUGUGACAUUGUUUCUGUCAUGCAAGUGAAGAGCUGGUCUUUUCAUAUAGUGGGUGGCUGCAAAACUUAACCAGAAAGGGUUGGUGGGCAUACAUCCAUCUUUAGGGACUGCAGCAGCAGCUGCUGAAACCAAGUAGAUUCCAACAAACAAGUUGGAGCCUAUCAGGUUCGGAGGGGCAGCAAUGUGUUGUAUCCCACAACUCUUGUACUAUGUAGGGCAAUCACAGCUUCACAGUGCCCACCUAUGCAGUGCAGAAAGCCCUCUUCUGCCCCAAUGGUUGCUAGGACCACUUCUGUUAUGGGCACUACUAGGCACAUGUGGCAGAGUCUUAGAAUGUUUGU
RNA transcript from Panicum hallii, 2783 nucleotides. It is a transcript of the gene named ACT domain-containing protein ACR4-like, with no coding region annotated. Lineage: Eukaryota; Viridiplantae; Streptophyta; Magnoliopsida; Poales; Poaceae. The transcript is spliced from 11 exons. The record is from RefSeq and is a predicted model, not a curated record.